This is a long non-coding RNA of Biomphalaria glabrata, 571 nucleotides long. RefSeq lists it as uncharacterized. The record is from RefSeq and is a predicted model, not a curated record. NCBI's taxonomy places the organism in Eukaryota, Metazoa, Mollusca, Gastropoda, Planorbidae. The transcript is spliced from 2 exons.
CAAAGUUAGUUUCUAAAAAUUUGAGAUUUUAGAAAAGCGUAUUUAUAUUAGAAAAAGUAAUUUGAAAGUGUAAAAAAUAACGAGAUUUGAAAAUCAGCUUCAAUGGCCGAAACCGGAAGUGACGUAUUGUAAUGGACUGAGAAAAUGUAAAUAAAAAUAGACAUGGCUGGAUACGUUAUUGAUAGCGAUUCAGAUGAUAAACUUAAAUCUAAAUCUAGCUGUCCAACAAUUUUAAAUGAUACUUAUCAUGGGAUGCACCAAAAUGCCCUGAAGAGAACUCUUCUACUUUUUCAAAAUAUAUUCUAGAGCAGACUAUUGAAUUAAUAUAAUUAUAGAUAGAUUAUAAUAGGACUACAUCUAGAUUCUAGAUCUAGUCUACUCUAGUAGUAGUCUCUAGUAUCAUCAAGUACUAGUAGAUCAUCUAGGACUAGGUCUAGAAAACAUAUAUGACAUGUGGCAUACAGACAAGUUUACUAGAUGGAUCUUUCAUCAUUUUGGAAAUACAAAUCACAGAAACAUUCUACAAUUUUAUUUUAUAUAAUAAAUACCAAUAAAUGUAAAUACAAAAUCA